This 494-nucleotide ribosomal RNA is filed under the name uncultured bacterium. RNAcentral describes it as "partial 16S ribosomal RNA". It matches the Rfam family "Bacterial small subunit ribosomal RNA", at positions 31 to 507 of the family's 1533-position model. The record is from RNAcentral.
GAACGCUGGCGGCGUGCCUAAUACAUGCAAGUAGAACGCUGAAGAGAGGAGCUUGCUCUUCUUGGAUGAGUUGCGAACGGGUGAGUAACGCGUAGGUAACCUGCCUUGUAGCGGGGGAUAACUAUUGGAAACGAUAGCUAAUACCGCAUAACAAUGGAUGACACAUGUCAUUUAUUUGAAAGGGGCAAUUGCUCCACUACAAGAUGGACCUGCGUUGUAUUAGCUAGUAGGUGAGGUAAUGGCUCACCUAGGCGACGAUACAUAGCCGACCUGAGAGGGUGAUCGGCCACACUGGGACUGAGACACGGCCCAGACUCCUACGGGAGGCAGCAGUAGGGAAUCUUCGGCAAUAGGGGCAACCCUGACCGAGCAACGCCGCGUGAGUGAAGAAGGUUUUCGGAUCGUAAAGCUCUGUUGUAAGUCAAGAACGGGUGUGAGAGUGGAAAGUUCACACUGUGACGGUAGCUUACCAGAAAGGGACGGCUAACUACGUG